This is a long non-coding RNA of Daphnia magna, 545 nucleotides long. RefSeq lists it as uncharacterized. Lineage: Eukaryota; Metazoa; Arthropoda; Branchiopoda; Diplostraca; Daphniidae. The record is from RefSeq and is a predicted model, not a curated record. The transcript is spliced from 4 exons.
UCAAACCCCCUCUAUUGGAUUUUUAACGCGGUUUUUACGGUUGCAUACCUGCAAUUUUUGCUGUGAUGGUUUAAUAAGUAGGCUAUGGAUUUUUUUUUGCAAAGUUUCUACAAGAUUUAUUAUACGAGAUUCAAAACAUCUCAUUAACAAAUACACGGUACAAAUUAUUUAGAUACAUUGAUAACAUCACGAAACAUGCUCAAGUAUUCCUUGUGCGAUAAGCAACUCACACUGGACACGAGGCAAUAAGUGUUCUGAGUGAGAUCAAGUGAAUAACUACCUUCACCUAUAGAUUUCAUAUAUGCUGCAAGGGAUUUGUUGUAUUUCAUGAAGAACUGAGCUUCAGGCUCACAGAUGUUUGCCUUUAUAUCUGCAGGAAGGACUGAACCAAAAUGCCAGCGAUGUUCUUUUAUUCUUUCAAGUCUGUUAUAAAGUUUACCUCUUAUUUCUUUCUAGAGCACAGUGCCGAAUAUGCACUGAAGUAAUGUAUUCUGACUCCCCUGCUACAGCAGAGCUCCUGGAGAAAUACAUUAUUAUUCACCUUC